UACGUAGGGUGCAAGCGUUAAUCGGAAUUACUGGGCGUAAAGAGCUCGUAGGCGGUCUGUCGCGUCUGCUGUGAAAGCCCGGGGCUCAACCCCGGGUCUGCAGUGGGUACGGGCAGACUAGAGUGCAGUAGGGGAGACUGGAAUUCCUGGUGUAGCGGUGAAAUGCGCAGAUAUCAGGAGGAACACCGAUGGCGAAGGCAGGUCUCUGGGCUGUAACUGACGCUGAGGAGCGAAAGCAUGGGGAGCGAACAGG
Molecule: ribosomal RNA, 253 nt
Filed under: uncultured bacterium
Lineage: Bacteria
Description: partial 16S ribosomal RNA
Rfam family: Bacterial small subunit ribosomal RNA
Source: RNAcentral